GCGAGCUCUACGGAACCGGGAGAACAGAGAGGCUGCCGCGCGGGAAGACGCCUGAUAAAGCGUGCGUAGCGGAUACGUCACGGAACGUCCCCCAGCGCGCCCCGGCGAAGAUCCACUUCUAAUCUAGAUCUUGAGGCUGGAAGAAACAUGCUUUUAGUCUUGAGGUGGGAAGACACACCUCUAAUAUUUUCUAGAAGCCGAUCUAAGGACAUGGAAGAAGGAAGUUUUUGCUCUUUGCCUGUCUGCCUUCUCCCUGCUGGCAAGUCCAUUCCUUUACUAGCAUUAGAACCUGCUUCCUCAGGAUUCCAGCAUAUACUGAAUGAAGACCAGCUGAGAUGUCCAGCCUGGUGGACUGAGCAACUUCUGGAUUCUUGAACUUCCUGUUCACAGUCAGCCAUUGUUGGAGGAGCUGGACUGCAGCCUGGAAGUCAUUCUAAUCCCCUUCCUAUAUAUAUUUAGUCAUUCUGUAAGUUCUAUCACUCCAGAGAACCCUGACUAAUAUAGCAGCAUUCCUCCACGGAAGUCUACUUCAGUUCUUGCCUCCAAGUUCCUGCUUUGAUUUUCCUUCAUGAUGUACGCUAUAAGGUGAAAUACACCCUUUCCUCCCCAAGUUGCUUUUGGCCAUGGUCUUUAUCAAUAGCAAUAGAAAGCAAAUUAAGAUAGAAAUGAUACAUGUAUUAUACCAAUAUCUAUAGAUCUAUCUAUCCCAAGCUUAAAAUGUAUUUGUGGUAGACAUAUCUUCCUUAUCCAUCUGUAUGAAUCUUUUCUAUCUUUUGUAAUCUUGUGUGUGUAAUGGGGGCGGGGGAGAAACAGAGAGAGCUCACAUGUUGAGAUCAGAGGACAACUUUCAGGAAGUACGUUCGCUCCUACCAUGUGGGUCCUGGGGAUAGAACUCUGGUCCUCAGGCUUGGCAGCAAGUGCCUUUAUCCACUGAACUAUCUCACCCGGACCCACCCCCACCGAUUUUGUAGACAGGAUCUGAUUGUGUUGCUAAGUGCUAGGAUUCCAAGUGUAUGCCACCAUGCCUCGCUUGGACUUUAAAAAAUUGCAGUUAGGGUCUGUUUCUUUUUUAAAUUUAAGUAUUUGGGUGUUUUGCCUGUGUGUAUGUCUGUGUAUAAAGUGUAUGCCUAGUGUCCCAGGAGGCCAGAAGAGGGGGUCAGAUUCCCUGGGACUACAGUUACAGAUGGUUGUAAGCUACCAUGUGGGUGCUGGGAAUUGAACCCAGGUCUUCUGGAAGAGCAGCCGGUGUUUUAAGCCAUUAAACUCUCUCUCCAGCUCUGAGAAUCUGUUUUAAAUAUUUUUGGUUAACUAUUAUUAUAUCAGGACUUAGUCCUAACAUUUCAUUUUCUGUACUUACAAUAUAUAUUUGGAGGGCUGGGAGUGAACUCAGUUGGGAGAAUGUUUACAUAUCAUCCAUAAAAUUGUGUGUUCCAUCCCGAGCACUGCGAAAUGCUGGGUGUGGUGGUCCAGACCUGUAAUCCCAGCAGCUUGCCUGCUACAUGAUGAGGUGAAGACUCAGUGUGGGCGUGUGUGUCUGCGCAUUCUUUUGUUUCUCCGAGUUGAACAGGCAUUGUACCCUGUAACGUGCAUCUUAGUCACGAUCUCAUCGGCUUUCGUGAGUCCCACGUUAGGAGGAACCUCACCAAAAGGCUCAGGUACUAAGAACUGAAACCAUUUGCCAAUAGCCCUAUGAUGCAAGUGAAGCCAUUAGCUAAGUCAGGCGUCCUGGUUGACAAGUCAACUGAAACCUCAGAAGAACUCUGGGACAAAACCACCAGGUAAGUGACUUCCAGAUUCCUGACCCUUGGAAACGGCAAGGCAAAUAAAUAAAUCCUUGUUGUUUGGGGCUUCUAAGUUUGGAACUCAUACUGAACUGAAGUUACUUGCUGCUUUAGCUGGCCAAAUGCAGUGAGGAAAGCAGAGACCAAACUCCACCUGUUCACUUACCUGAACUUUGAGGGGUGAAGAGAAGUGUAAGGGAUGAGCCAGACUGUAUGGCCCCUAGCACCACAGAAGUAGUUAUCACUCCCACUUGCUUUCCUAACACCUGCAAAUGUUCUAGUAAGGAGUCAUCAAACCCUCAGAGGAAAAAUCACUUUAAAAGGAGAUAGUCUCGGCUGGGCAGUGGUGGCGCACACCUCUUCAUCCCAGCACUUGGAAGGCAGAGGCAGGCAGAUAGAUCUCUGAGUUCGAGGCCAGCCAGGGCUACACACAGAGAAACCCUGUCCCAGAGGGGAGCGGGGAAGGAAGUGGUCUCCCUCAGAGUAUCCAGCAGUCCUGGCACCUGGGAGUCUGAUGGCCACUGGCUGCCCGUUUCUUCCCCUAGGAUAGCUGCUGCCUUCACACUAGCCAUCUAGACACCUGUACUUGGGUCUGGAUGAUUUCCUCAGUAAGAGAGCAGGCAAAAACUUCCAAAGCAAUGUGGAGAAAAGGAUAGAGCCAUAAUAACCUGCAUUUUCCUCUAGUCUAGACUGUAUUUGCUGCCUCCGGCUACCUGUCUCUCAAAACAUACCAGUUCCUAUGGAGCUAGAGAGGGCUCAGUGGUUAAGAGCACAGGCUGCUCUUCCCAGAGGACCUAGGUUCAAUUCCCAGCACCCAUAUGGCAGCUCACAACUGUCUGUAACUCUAGUUCCAGAGGAUCCAACGCCCUCACAUAGACAUGCAUGCAGGGAAAACACCAAUGCAUUAAAAGCAAAUACAUUUUUUAAGCUGAAUAAAAGAAAAAGGCUAAUAUUAAAAAGAAAAAAAAGAUGGCUUUCUAUGCCCUCAUGGGUCUCAGAGCUGUGCUAUAAUUUCUGGAACCCAUGUUUUCUUUAGAAAAAAAAAUAUAUAUAUAUAAAACUAAAUUGUGGCAGCACACGCCUUUAAUCCCAACACUCAGGAGGCAGGCAGAUCUCUGUGAGUUUGAGGCCAGCCUGGUCUAUGGAGUGAAUAUAUGUAUAUGUAUUUAUAUAUUUUAUACAUUUAUAUACAUAUAUAAAUAUAUACACAAGUAUAUAUAAUACACACACACACAUUUUUGGUUUUCUGAGACAAGGUUUCUCUGUAUAAUCCUGGCUGUCCUGGAACUCGCUCUGUAGACUAAGGUAGCCUCAAACUCAGAGAUCCACCUGCCUCUGCCUCUGCCUCCUGAGUAUGCGCCACGACUGCCUGGCUCUAAAAAAACUAUUUGUUAUUACACUAUUCAUUUUGUGUAUCAGGGAGGGGGUGGCGAAUACAUGUGGAGGUCAGAGGACAAUUUACAGGAGUUAGUUCUCUCUUUCUACCAUGUGGGGCCUAGGGCUCAAAUUCAGCUUCUCAGGCUUGGUGGCAAGCACCUUUCCCCACUGAGCCCUCUUGUCAGCCCUGGAGCCUGUGUUUUCCUCUGGAGUUUCUCCCUGUGGUUUCAGCAGCUUAUAUCUCUUGCCAUCUUGGAAUGGACCAGAAGGUCCAAGUAUCCUAGAGAAAAAGUAAAGGUUUCUGCCUUUCAGAGCCCAAGCAGAAUGGAUUCAUUGGAAUUCUAAAGGGAAUACUGACUUGUAUGACCCCUUAAAUAUCAGUACUUGGAGCUGGAGAGAUGGCUCAUUGUUUUAAGAAGACCCAGGUUUGGUUCCCAGCACCCCAAUGGGAGCUCACAACUAUCUGUAACUCCAGUUCCAGGGGAUCUGAUACCAUUUUCUGGCCUCUGCAAGCUUCUUGCACAUAGUGGUGCAUAGGCAUACAUGUAGGCAAAACAACCAUACACAUCAAAUUAACAUGAAAGCCAAUCAUGGUGGCACCUAACUUUAAUCCCAGCACUCAGGAGGCAGAGGCAGGCAGAUCUCUGAGUUUGAGGCCAGCCAGUCUACAUAAGCAAGUUCCAGGACAGCUUUAAAUAAUAAAAUCAGAAUUCAUUAAUCAUAGAACAUACCCCAUAGGGUGUCAGCUAGUUACUGACGAAAGGAAUACAUAAAGUCUCCAGAAAGCCCUUACACUCUUAUGUAUGGCUUCUACGGAGUCCAAGCCCCUUAUUCACAGUGUGCACUUGGUAGAUCCACAGUGUUUGAAUACCCUGGACACAAAAAGAUAGCUGUGUCCUGCUCUUCAAGUGACUAAUCCUUCUCCACCAACAUUGGGGGGUGAUAAGAACCAUUUAAGGGUCACUCUCAGCUUUACAUGGUAAUGUGGGGGGGGGGGGGACAGAUAAGAUGAUUUUUUCCUUGAUGUCCCAUCAUCUCUGGCAGCAUAACUUCUAGUCAGACCUUGCACAGCUCGGUCAUGACUCGGGGACCCCAGUUAGCUCAUCUACUAUCUAUCAUAUCCUUAGCACAGGACAGUUUCCUUGUGAGAAAGCUCCUCCACAUUCUGAUUAGGUAAGUAGGGAAGAGGGAUUGCCUUUUUUAGAGACAGAUUUUUCCCUCUGUAGCCCAGGCUAGACUUGAACUUGUGAUUCUCCUUUAUUCUCCCAAGUAGCUGGGAAUUAUGUGCAUACCACUGCAGCCUGAUCAAGGACCUGAUUUUUUUUUUAGUUUUAUUUUAUAUGAAUGAGUGUUUUUCUUGCAUGCAUAUAUGUAUGCCAUGUGCAUGC
Molecule: long non-coding RNA, 4546 nt
Organism: Peromyscus californicus insignis
Lineage: Eukaryota; Metazoa; Chordata; Mammalia; Rodentia; Cricetidae
Exons: 2
Source: RefSeq, a predicted model, not a curated record